Molecule: unclassified non-coding RNA, 200 nt
Filed under: soil metagenome
Description: partial contains internal transcribed spacer 2 and large subunit ribosomal RNA
Source: RNAcentral
CCAAAAGGGGCUCGGCUCCUCUUGAAAUGCAUUAGUGGAACUUCUGAUUGCGGACCUGCUCCAGCGUGAUAAUUAUCUACGUUGCAGCGGCGAAGUGGUAUAGAUCUGCUUACAACCCAUUGUUGCCGCAUAUAUAUGCGUGACAAUUACCCCCAUGACAAUUUGACCUCAAAUCAGGUAGGAUUACCCGCUGAACUUAA